UUAUAUGGAGAGUUUGAUCCUGGCUCAGGACGAACGCUGGCGGCGUGCCUAAUACAUGCAAGUCGAGCGGACGGAUGGGAGCUUGCUCCCUGAAGUCAGCGGCGGACGGGUGAGUAACACGUGGGCAACCUGCCUGUAAGACUGGGAUAACUUCGGGAAACCGGAGCUAAUACCGGAUAAUGCAUUUCCCUUCAUGGGGAUAUGCUGAAAGAUGGUUUCGGCUAUCACUUACAGAUGGGCCCGCGGCGCAUUAGCUAGUUGGUGAGGUAACGGCUCACCAAGGCAACGAUGCGUAGCCGACCUGAGAGGGUGAUCGGCCACACUGGGACUGAGACACGGCCCAGACUCCUACGGGAGGCAGCAGUAGGGAAUCUUCCGCAAUGGACGAAAGUCUGACGGAGCAACGCCGCGUGAGUGAUGAAGGUUUUCGGAUCGUAAAACUCUGUUGUCAGGGAAGAACAAGUGCCGGAGUAACUGCCGGCACCUUGACGGUACCUGACCAGAAAGCCACGGCUAACUACGUGCCAGCAGCCGCGGUAAUACGUAGGUGGCAAGCGUUGUCCGGAAUUAUUGGGCGUAAAGCGCGCGCAGGCGGUCUCUUAAGUCUGAUGUGAAAGCCCACGGCUCAACCGUGGAGGGUCAUUGGAAACUGGGGGACUUGAGUGCAGAAGAGGAAAGUGGAAUUCCACGUGUAGCGGUGAAAUGCGUAGAGAUGUGGAGGAACACCAGUGGCGAAGGCGACUUUCUGGUCUGUAACUGACGCUGAGGCGCGAAAGCGUGGGGAGCAAACAGGAUUAGAUACCCUGGUAGUCCACGCCGUAAACGAUGAGUGCUAAGUGUUAGAGGGUUUCCGCCCUUUAGUGCUGCAGC
This 870-nucleotide ribosomal RNA is filed under the name Bacillus infantis. RNAcentral describes it as "bacterial SSU rRNA". It matches the Rfam family "Bacterial small subunit ribosomal RNA", at positions 1 to 852 of the family's 1533-position model. Lineage: Bacteria; Bacillati; Bacillota; Bacilli; Caryophanales; Bacillaceae. The record is from RNAcentral.